CGCGGAGUGGAGCAGUUUGGUAGCUCGCGAGGCUCAUAACCUUGAGGUCAUGGGUUCAAAUCCCGUCUCCGCAA
Molecule: transfer RNA, 74 nt
Filed under: Azima tetracantha
Lineage: Eukaryota; Viridiplantae; Streptophyta; Magnoliopsida; Brassicales; Salvadoraceae
Description: tRNA-Met
Rfam family: tRNA
About the family: Transfer RNA (tRNA) molecules are approximately 80 nucleotides in length. Their secondary structure includes four short double-helical elements and three loops (D, anti-codon, and T loops).
Source: RNAcentral